This is a long non-coding RNA of Prunus persica (peach), 276 nucleotides long. RefSeq lists it as uncharacterized. Lineage: Eukaryota; Viridiplantae; Streptophyta; Magnoliopsida; Rosales; Rosaceae. The record is from RefSeq and is a predicted model, not a curated record. The transcript is spliced from 2 exons.
GGGCAUUCAUGGCCCCGCUCCAACCUUCUUUCCUUUGCUCUCCAACUUUGGACCUAGAUUUUUGACUUAUGGAAGAUUGUUGUCAUUGAGAACCAUCAUCAAUUUGGCGUGGGACAACAUUCCAUUCUGUCACAAGAAGUGUGCUGUAAUUAUAUGGAAAAAAAAACAUUUAAUUGAGGAACUAUAUUUUAGUAAUGUAAUUUAGUCCUCAUUCAAUUAAAUUGAGUUCAAUUUACUUGAGAAAUUUCAGUCUUGAAUCUGUUCUUUUUAUAUUCA